UUAGGUUGGUGCAAAAAUAAUUGCAGUUUUUUCCAUUGAAAGUAAUGGCAAAAACCACAGAUACUUUUGCACCAACCUAAUA
This 82-nucleotide microRNA precursor is filed under the name Mandrillus leucophaeus (drill). RNAcentral describes it as "miRNA (ENSMLEG00000009701.1)". The record is from RNAcentral. Lineage: Eukaryota; Metazoa; Chordata; Mammalia; Primates; Cercopithecidae.